GAUGAACGCUGGCGGCGUGCUUAACACAUGCAAGUCGAACGAGUGGCGAACGGGUGAGUAACACGUGAGCAAUCUGCCCCUGACUUUGGGAUAAGCACUGGAAACGGCGUCUAAUACCGGAUAGUCAGGGAUGAGCUCGCGGCCUAUCAGCUAGUUGGUGAGGUAAUGGUCACCAAGGCGCGACGGGUAGCCGGCCUGAGAGGGUGACCGGCCACACUGGGACUGAGACACGGCCCAGACUCCUACGGGAGGCAGCAGUGGGGAAUAUUGCACAAUGGGCGCAAGCCUGAUGCAGCAACGCCGCGUGAGGGACGACGGCCUUCGGGUUGUAAACCUCUUUUAGCAGGGAAGCGGUACCUGCAGAAAAAGCACCGGCUAACUACGUGCCAGCAGCCGCGGUAAUACGUAGGGUGCAAGCGUUAUCCGGAAUUAUUGGGCGUAAAGAGCUCGUAGGCGGUUUGUCGCGUCUGCUGUGAAACGGGGGGCUCAACCCCCAGCCUGCAGUGGGUACGGGCAGACUAGAGUGCGGUAGGGGAGAUUGGAAUUCCUGGUGUAGCGGUGGAAUGCACAGAUAUCAGGAGGAACACCGAUGGCGAAGGCAGAUCUCUGGGCCGAACUGACGCUGAGGAGCGAAAGGGUGGGGAGCAAACAGGCUUAGAUACCCUGGUAGUCCACCCCGUAAACGUUGGGAACUAGUUGUG
This 701-nucleotide ribosomal RNA is filed under the name uncultured bacterium. Its description in RNAcentral is "bacterial SSU rRNA". It matches the Rfam family "Bacterial small subunit ribosomal RNA", at positions 28 to 824 of the family's 1533-position model. The record is from RNAcentral.